This is a long non-coding RNA of Otolemur garnettii (small-eared galago), 685 nucleotides long. RefSeq lists it as uncharacterized. The transcript is spliced from 2 exons. The record is from RefSeq and is a predicted model, not a curated record. Lineage: Eukaryota; Metazoa; Chordata; Mammalia; Primates; Galagidae.
UCUCCUCUCCCCUCUGCCUGAGUCCAGCUGCUCCUGCCCUGUCUCCUCUCCCCUCUGCCUGAGUCCAGCUGUUCCUGCCCUGUCUCUUCUCCCCUCUGCCUGAGGUCAGCUGUUCCUGCCCUGUCUCCUCUCCCCUCUUCAGCCCUUCUUAGAUGAUCUGUCUGGAAUUCUCUCAAAGGACAAACUCUUCCAUGGUUCCAGUCUCAUCUUAGAUCCUGUGAUGAUGAGUAUGUGGAAAUACUAGACGGACCUCCUUGUUCUAAGAGCCUUGCUAAGAUUUGUGAGGGCUUCAGUUCAAUCUUUGAAACAUCUGCCAAUUUUGCCACAAUCAAGUAUUUCAGAGAAAGCUACCACUCACCCUCUUUCUUUGCAUGUUUAAGGCUGACCAUCCUCAGUCCAAGGCCAGCCACGUAGCAUGGUGGGACUACAACCUGAAAUAAGCUUGAGCCAAAGUUCUCCUGGAAGAGCUUUGGGUGAGGGGUCCUGAGUGGGACCCAAGGCCCUUCUAAAACAUACGUGGGAACUAUCACAGUGUUCAGACCUGAGGGGUAGGGGGACCAAAGAGAGAAACUAUUUUCUGUAUUAUUCUUGCUGUCGUGUUGGUGCAGUAUAUAUCUGUCUCUUAGAAGGUUUCUUGACAUAUGGAUAGAAAUACAUGUAAUAAAAGACUUCUCACUCAUGGAGA